GGUUGCCAUCUCUGAUACUGGGAUGUCUAAGGAUCCUAUGACUCUGCAAGGAAGCAGAAUUGCCAUUUCUAUUGGAGGCUGAGGCAGGAAGGUGGAUUCAUGCUGCUGGCCAGUGACCAGGUACCUCAGAGGUGACAGAGGAGAACUCAGCCCAAUAGAGGGCUGGCUCCAUGCUGAGUGGCAGCCAGCCAACCAGUGAGAGUGGCACAAAGAGAAAGAAGGUGGAUCCUGAGCACUGCUGGGGAAACUUUCCUGGUAACUUGCAAAACCUGCCUCACAGUCUGGAAUUGAAAGCCUGGCAACCAAGUGCUUCUUCCCAGCUGCUACUUUUGUACCUUGUCCCUGGGUGUUCUUGAAAAUACAUUUUGAUUCCCACAGU
Molecule: long non-coding RNA, 379 nt
Organism: Hyaena hyaena (striped hyena)
Lineage: Eukaryota; Metazoa; Chordata; Mammalia; Carnivora; Hyaenidae
Exons: 2
Source: RefSeq, a predicted model, not a curated record